Molecule: ribosomal RNA, 692 nt
Filed under: uncultured bacterium
Lineage: Bacteria
Description: bacterial SSU rRNA
Rfam family: Bacterial small subunit ribosomal RNA
Source: RNAcentral
GCUUAGAGUUUGAUCCUGGCUCAGAUUGAACGCUGGCGGCAUGGCUAAAGCAUGCAAGUCUGGGAGAACCUUCGGGGGACACCGGCGAAAGGGCGAGUAACGCGAUCGAACGUACCCCAGUGCGGGGGAUAGCGUCGGGAAACCGGCGGUAAUACCCCAUGUGCUCUACGGAGGAAGCUGGGAGCGGCGAUCGUCCUAUCAGGUUGUUGGUGGGGUAAUGGCCUACCAAGCCGAAGACGGGUAGCGGGUGUGAGAGCAUGGCCCGCCGCAUCGGGACUGAGACACUGCCCGGACUCCUACGGGAGGCUGCAGCGACGAAUCUUCCGCAAUGCGCGAAAGCGUGACGGAGCAAUGCCGCGUGUGGGAUGAAGGCGCUCUGCGUCGUAAACCACUGUCAGGCCCUAGAACCAACGAUCAGGGCCAGAGGAAGGGCCGGCUAAACUCGUGCCAGCAGCCGCGGUAAGACGAGUGGCCCAAGCGUUAAUCGGAAUCACUGGGCUUAAAGCGUGCGCAGGCGGACCUUCAGGCAUCCCGUGAAAUGCCCCGGCUCAACCGGGGAACUGCGGGGUGAACCGUUGGUCUUGAGGCAGGUAGGGGGGUGCAGAACUGUCGGUGGAGCGGUGAAAUGUGUAGAUAUCGACAGGAAUGCCGAAGGGGGAAGCCGGCACCCUGGGCCUGUCCUGACGCUCAUG